AGUAAAGUGGCGUACGGGUGAGUAACACGUGGGUAAUCUACCUUUUGGUGGGGAAUAACCCUGGGAAACCGGGGCUAAUACCGCAUAAGCCUGAGAAGGGAAAGCAGCAAUGCGCUGAGAGAGGAGCCCGCGGCUGAUUAGCUAGUUGGUGAGGUAAAGGCCCACCAAGGCAUAGAUCGGUAGCCGGCCUGAGAGGGCACACGGCCACACUGGCACUGAAACACGGGCCAG
This 231-nucleotide ribosomal RNA is filed under the name uncultured bacterium. RNAcentral's name for it is "partial 16S ribosomal RNA". It matches the Rfam family "Bacterial small subunit ribosomal RNA", at positions 89 to 334 of the family's 1533-position model. The record is from RNAcentral.